Molecule: ribosomal RNA, 442 nt
Filed under: Etisus demani
Lineage: Eukaryota; Metazoa; Arthropoda; Malacostraca; Decapoda; Xanthidae
Description: partial 16S ribosomal RNA
Rfam family: Archaeal large subunit ribosomal RNA
Source: RNAcentral
AAAGGUAGCAUAAUCAUUAGGGAUUUAAUUGGGACCUGGAAUGAAGGGUUGGACAAAGGAGAGACUGUCUUUACUGUAUAAGUUGAAGUUUACUUUUAAGUGAAAAGGCUUAAAUAUUUCAAAGGGACGAUAAGACCCUAUAAAGCUUUAUAAGAAGAUUAAAUUUAGUUGAUUCAAAUUAUAAAAAUUAAAUUUAGUUAUCUUAUUUCGUUGGGGUGAUGAGAGUAUAACUGUUAUUAACUGCUUAAAAAAAAUUCUGUCGUGAUAGAUUUAAUGAAUGUAUGAUCCUUUUUAGAGAUUAAAAGAUUAAGUUACUUUAGGGAUAACAGCGUUAUUUCUUUUGAGAGUUCAUAUCGAAAAAGAAGAUUGCGACCUCGAUGUUGAAUUAAAAUAUCUGUAUAAUGCAGCCGUUAUAGAAGAAAGUCUGUUCGACUUUUAAAAU